Ursus maritimus (polar bear) is the source of this 2301-nucleotide long non-coding RNA. Lineage: Eukaryota; Metazoa; Chordata; Mammalia; Carnivora; Ursidae. The record is from Ensembl.
ACUAACAGUUUGAACUCCCAAUGCUUGGCAUUUAUCGUGGCAGAAAUACCCUCCUGGACAGUACUGGAUUCAAGGGGAAGCAGUCUUUCUGGAUCCCCUAUGAAACCCCUUGCUAUUUCUCCCUUAAGUGCAAUUCCUAUUUCUAUGCAAUUUAAUUCCAGUUUCCCCUUCUUCCACUGCCCCCAAACUGUCCAUCAAAAAGCCUGCUCAAUGCAACAUUGAAGAGGAGAGGGGCUCCAUUUGUCCGGGAAAAGAGCGGACCCUCAGUUUCAGCCUUGGGGGAAAAUAGUCCUUUUUCUUCAAAGGCAGGAGUCACAUUCCUUUUGCAGUUCUGAUAGGAGCUGCUCCAGAGAACACCAGCUGAAAGUAAAUGUCCUUGAGGGCCCCAGCAUUCUCCUCAUCAUUAAUGCAUGGGCAUGGUCAUCCAGCCUUCAGAACCUGCCUGAAAGAGAUGCCCGAAGAAUCAGGAAACACCAGGGAAGCAGAGGACACAAGCUUGGAUGUGAAAUAGCAACAUCUUAUGCACUGAAGAAUAAUAAAACAAUGUUUUUAAUUACGAAAGAAAAUAUGUAAGAAAAUGUGCAGCAAAUUUUGGGGCGGUUCCAAGCUAGAACACUUUACAUUUAUCUGUACAUACGGAACUGAACAGAGAUUGCUCCCUUCUAAAAUUUUCUAAGACAUGAUCUCAAUUGCCGAUUUUUGUCUACCCACAUAAAAGCGGAGCUUUAUGACCCUCCUUUUCAGCCUGGGGAAGGGGGGCUGGGAGAAGACUUUGCACUUUUGAAAAGGCAGCCAUAUUUGCACUUUUUCCCCUGUGCAGAGGUAAUCCAGGCGAUGUGCUGGGCUUUGUGGAACCUCACAAAAUGGCAGUCUCCGAACUGACUUUUCUCUAGAAACCAUUGAGACCCACACCCUCUUUUGUGUGUUUCUAGUCCUCGCAAACAGAGAACCUAAAUCACUUGGAAGGCUUGGUUCUUUCAUUCAGUGUUAACAUUGGAGGGUCCUAUUUUUCUCUAAACGGUUUACAGACCUCUCUAAGCAGACUCUAAGUAAUCCAGGGCCAAAAAGCAUCGCCUAGAUUUUCAAAGGAUUCUCUGAAGGUUUAUGCACAUUUCUGCAGCAAAAAUGUUUGCUCCCUUAGCUGCAACCCUCCGAUGUUUACAGAUUUGAGCCAGUUAGAAGGGUAUCUUCUGUGCUUGUCACCUUGAGUUUGUCUGCAUAAAACACCAUGAUGGGGGUUUCUAGCCACUAAAAGAAGGUGGUGUGUGUGUGACGGGGGGGGGGUGUAAUUCCCAAGCUCUUUAUUUGAAGGCAGAUCUAUGAUUUUCCCAGCUACAAAAAGAAACAUAUAUACCUACAUUUAUUUAUGACCAACACUUUCUGCAAUGUGUAAUCUAUGUGUAAGUACAAAUACACCAAAUAUAUACCCAGAAUACCAAAUUUGUAGAUGAACAAAUACUCUGCAAUGCACCAGGUAUUACAACAGAGUUUUCUGUACAAGAGCUCCAGUUUUACUAUAGGUUGGGGGCGAUGAGUCAAGAAGGUACAACGCUUCCACAGCAACACAGAAUAUAGAGGAAAUAAGCACAUUGCUACCUCCCCUUCAUUUCUUGAUUUCCACAUCCAUUCAUGCACCACCAGGUCCCCUGAGUCUUGCCCCAAAUCAGUGGCUCUAAAACUGGAAUUUAGGGAGCAGUUUUCAGUGGGAGACAGCGAAUUUUGCUAAUAGAGGAAUCACUUAAAUGGAAGGCAGCUGGAGUUUAGCCAGUAAGAACCUCCAGCUAGCUUGCGGCUUCCCAUUGCCACUUCUACCACCACCUCCACCAACCCCCACCGCCACCACCACCACCCCACAGGCUGUUCCCUAGCCAUGCUUUCAGGCGCUUGGCAUCUUUGCUCUGUAGAAGCCAACGGCAGUGUCUCAAGCAGCACACGGAGCAGAACGUUUCCAAAUCCAGCAUGCACAAUUGCAGCUGUUUCCUCUAGUGCAAAUGUUUCUUAAGCCGCAGGCCACCGUGACUUAAAAUUGUCUUUCCUGGCUCAGGUCAGCGAAUGCCACAGCCACAGCCUCUUCCCUGGAUAGAAAGCUAGGUGGUGGGGCGCCUGGGUGGCACAGCAGUUAAGCGUCUGCCUUCGGCUCAGGGCGUGAUCCUGGCGUUAUGGGAUCGAGCCCCACAUCAGGCUCCUCCGCUAUGAGCCUGCUUCUUCCUCUCCCACUCCCCCUGCUUGUGUUCUCUCUCUCGCUGGCUGUCUCUCUCUCUGUCAAAUAAAUAAAUAAAAUCUUUAAUAAAAAAAAAAAAG